This 735-nucleotide long non-coding RNA is filed under the name Olea europaea (common olive). Its description in RNAcentral is "long non-coding RNA (OEUR_LNC008533)". Lineage: Eukaryota; Viridiplantae; Streptophyta; Magnoliopsida; Lamiales; Oleaceae. The record is from RNAcentral.
UGGUACCAUUGAAAAGGACAGGCAGUUGCAGCGGGGCAAUGGAUAAAUGUACAAAAAGGGAGCUUGUCUAUGUCCUUGUCCGUGAAAUAUUGGUUUCUUGUCGACCUUGUGAAUUACAUAAAAGUAGGAUACUCCGAAGUCGGGGGUCUAAGAAAUAUUUAGAACUGGGUGGCCAUUGACCGGCUAGAAAAAGGCUCCGGCUCGCUCAUUGGAAGUGGAAAUGGAAGCGAUUGAUUUUGGGCGAACAUAUUUUCUGAGAAAGAGAGGAAUGGAAAUUGAUUAAUUCAAGUUCUUUAAGAGCCUGUUUGGGAGUGAUUUUGAGAAUUGAUUUUUUGAUCGUUAGGAGAAAAGUGGGGUUCACUUGUGAGAGAAGAAUUCAAAUAUGACGGUUGGAAUAGUAAAAUAAUAGUCAAAAAAUCAAUUUUUUGGGAAAAAAAAUCGCUCCCAAACAAGAUGUAAACUUGUUGAUGAUUGAACUUAAUAUGAACCGGGAAGAGUAUAUAAAUGAAGUUGGAAUUCAUUAAGUGCUCGAUUAACAAAUCUCUUACAGGAGGAGUGCAUAAUACCUGUUGACUUUUUUCUUUUCAUAUUUUCCACAUGAAACUAAUAGAAGAGAGAUUUUUUUGCUUUGACAUAUUGUUGUAAUGACAGUGAACGAGUAAAUGAGGGAAGUUGACAUUAAGUCAAUCCUAUUUUUGGAAAUUUGUUUUUACUCAAAUUUGUUUUUAAUCAAAC